This 224-nucleotide unclassified non-coding RNA is filed under the name Hevea brasiliensis (rubber tree). Lineage: Eukaryota; Viridiplantae; Streptophyta; Magnoliopsida; Malpighiales; Euphorbiaceae. The record is from RNAcentral.
AGAAACAGGAAAAGUGUAGAUAGUUAAAGUAAAAGAUAUAGGAGCCAUCAUUCUUUCUAAUUCAAGCUUUUAUUAGCUCUUUCUCGGUCAUUUAUCAAGUCUAUUCUCUCUAACGAUUCAUAAUUGGAACGGGAGGUCCUAUUCCUAGCUUAGACUUUGUGCACAAGUUUAAAUUAUUCUGCUGGCUUUUUAGCUAGCUGUCUUAGAUUUUUUGCUGUUUGACA